GACAGAGGGUGCAAACGUUGUUCGGAAUUACUGGGCGUAAAGCGCGUGUAGGCGGCCCGGAAAGUCGGAUGUGAAAGCCCUGGGCUUAACCUAGGAAGUGCAUUCGAAACUCCCGUGGCUUGAGUUCUGGAGAGGGAAGCGGAAUUCUCGGUGUAGAGGUGAAAUUCGUAGAUAUCGAGAGGAACACCGGUGGCGAAGGCGGCUUCCUGGACAGUGACUGACGCUGAGACGCGAAAGCGUGGGGAGCAAACAGG
Molecule: ribosomal RNA, 254 nt
Filed under: uncultured bacterium
Lineage: Bacteria
Description: partial 16S ribosomal RNA
Rfam family: Bacterial small subunit ribosomal RNA
Source: RNAcentral